CCGGCAGUCCUAAAUACACCUUGCUUUGGGUGUCAGCUGCAGGCUCAAGUGAAAGAUGUGGGAAAGGCUAGGGCCUGCUCCAAACCCAAGAAAACUGUGCUACUGGUGGAAGCUAGUCUUCUAAACCCUGAAGCCAGCCCUGCCAGCCAGAGGGUUCUCUUGCUCUUUGCUGACCUUUUUCUUAGCCGAAAUAUAAUAGAUGAUAAUGUUUUUUAUCAAGUUUCCAUGGGGGGGAAAAAGACUACCUCUUGAGUGACAUCCUGGUUGAUUCCUCUCUUGAGGAGUCCUGUGGGAAAAGACUGCUGUAGCUCCCGUGCUGUUUACAUGUUUCUGUCGGGAACAAAACCCUGGACUGUUGUGUUUUUGUCUGUGCUGCCAUCCCAGGCCUGUGAUAGGAGCUUGUGGCUGUAUUGUAAUGUCUGGGCAGUGUCUGGGGAGUCCUUUCCACCUGCCCAGCUAGGGACAGGCCAUGGCUGCUAGACGAGGCCUGUACCCCCCUUCCUAUGCUCCAUAGCUUGGAUUUCAGGGACUCUGAUGGCAAGUGAGUGCGUCGUGAACCUACCUCAGGCUACCUCCCAGUCCUCCCACAGUUCUGUGUAGGAAUCGAAUGAAUGGAUGUCUCUGAGCCCUUGUUCCCAAAGGGCCGGCCAAGGGCUGCCUGCCAGCCUGGCUCCAUCAACCCUGCAUGACCAAAUGAUAGUUGGCGGGCUCUGCAGGCUGCUCAGGCCCUCUGCUACCUCCCACACUUGCCUGCUGGCAAGAAGUGGGCCCUGUUCUGUGAAUUGACUACCUGUGGAAAUGUGACCAAUUAGUAUGAAAUGCAUGUUUAGCAAGUGUUAGGUACUGUAUUUGAACCAAUAAAUGUGAAUCCUCUGCACAUGC
Molecule: long non-coding RNA, 882 nt
Filed under: Rattus norvegicus (Norway rat)
Lineage: Eukaryota; Metazoa; Chordata; Mammalia; Rodentia; Muridae
Description: long non-coding RNA NONRATT019256
Source: RNAcentral